CUGAAAUCUACAGAUAUAAUAAUCAUCUCCAUAAGCAGCACGCAUGGCAUCAACGGUUUUGAUUUUAGGGUGUCUACGGAGCAGAGGAACACUGAGACAAACAUAUGCUUUGAUUCUUUCAGGACGAAACAUACAAAGAUACCAACCAAUUAGAGCACCCCAAUCAUGAGCAACAAGAAAAACUUGAUCAACACCAAGUGAAUCAAUUAGAGCAACGAUGUCACCAACAAUAUGAAAACCUGUAUAGCUACUAACCGAAGCCGGAGCAUCAGUGUCUCCGUAGCCACGGAGAUCUGGUGCCACGGCACGGUAGCCUAGGGAGCUGAGAGCAACAAUCUGGUGGCGCCAUGAGUACCAGAGUUCAGGGAAGCCAUGAAGGAACAGAACAACUGGUGCUUGUUUGUUUCCUUUUUCUGCAAUAUGCAUUUUGAUGCCAUUUACCUCUACUGUUCUGUGCUCUAUUCCUUCCAUGCCACUUUGUCAAUUUCUCCGGCUAAUCAAAUUUGUUUUCGUUACAUAUAGAAAUUUGGUAAUAUCCAAAAAAUGCUGUCCAACAACUAGACAUUUGACCGACCUUUAAAAAAAAAUAAUAUUAAAUGUGUGUUAACAUUAAAUAGCUUUCAUUAUGUUAAAUUAUCAAGUCACUAGGUUUGGUGCGAGAAGUUUGGAUAAUAUAUGUAUUCAAAGUAGAGGUUUUGGGUUCGAUCUUCAGCUCAAUUUUAAACAAAAAAAAGAAGUUAAAUUUUCACGUAUUUUAACAUGUGUCCUUAGGGCAAGAACACAUAUUAACAUGACCCUUGAAAAAACAUGUGUUACUUUAAAAGAAAUAAGUUAAAUUGCACUUUUAGCCCCCUAAAUUUUACAAACUUACAAUUUUAGUCCCGUAAUUUUUAAAAUAACAUUUAUGGCAUGUUAUCUUUAGCCCCGUAGUGGCUAUUUUAAAAAUUAUUCGGCCAAAAUCACAAAUAUAUGAAACUCAGAAGCCAAAAAUGCAAUUUAGUCAAAAAAAAAUAUUAUCAUUAAAAGAGAUAUUGCGGAAAUAAAUCACUUUUUUUUUUAAAGAAACUAAUAUUAUUUUAGAAGAAAAAACAUAUGCUAAAAUCAAUACAACAAAUGUAAAAAUUGAGCCAAAAAAUUGAAUUAUAAAAGGGGAAUUACACCAAUAAUAUGCUAAUAUAUUAGGAUUUUUUUUUUUUGGCCUUAGACAUUACUUUAAUGUAGAUUAUUAAAUAUGAGUCAAAACUGUAAGGUCGGUUAUGUUAGGAGACAAAUCGAGUAGCUCAUGAUUUUGUGCAGACAACUCAUUUUUAUUUUUUUUUUGAAAACUUUGUAUCCGGCCUUAGGACCGACUAAUCCAAGGGGACCAAUGCAGACAACUCAUUUUAAUGCUAGUCCCCAAAUCUUUGAUUAUUGUUCACAUUAUAUUGAAACUAUUAUUACGAAUGAAAUGCUUGCUUCAAAAUAAAGAGUUUAUAAAUUCAAUGACUUAUACUUAGUUGAUUUUUGAAGGGAGGAGAAAUCUUACUUUUUUUGUUUUAAAUAAAUUAAAAAGAUAUAAAAUAUUUUUAAAAAAAAUGACGGAAUUGUAAUUGAAGUAUAAUUUGAUCAUUUAGUAUGUUUUUUCAAUUAUUUUAAAAUAUUAACUAUAUAUCAAAAUAUAUAUUUAGCCCCUAUAAAUAUUAUUGAACUUCGAAUUUCUCUCUUCUCUACAAGCGGUUCUAGUUACUUGGUAUCUUCGACAAAAACCAAAAUUAAAUGAACAAUAUAUUGUUCUAAAGUGCAACAAGUGCAGUGCAACUACCAAGAAUCAAGAAACAGACUUAGCAGCUGAUUAUUUAUUUUAUUGGCAGAUUAGCUCAAAAUUUCUUAAUGAAUUCAUAAAUGUGAUUACUAAUUUCCUCUGCCACUUCUUGAUUAUUGAAGUGAGCCACUCCUUUUUGCACAAUCACUUCCUCCAAAUUUGGCACAUCUUUCUUGAAUUCUCCACCAUGGAUAUACUCUUUCAAGUUUAGCGAGGUGUAUACCGAGUCUAAAUCACCAGUAAUGAAUUUCACAGGCACCUUGAUUUUCACUCCAUCCCAUGGUGCCAAGAGUUCCCAAUUUCUGCAAUACAAAUAAUAAUUUAUUUAUCAUUUGAAUUGGGAUCAGUGUCUAUGAACCACUAACAUAAAAAAAUAUGUUGCUACAUAGAUUAUUGUGGGUAUCAUGUAGGAGAGGGGUGUUCAAAAAUUCAGCUAACCGAACCAAACUGUAGUUCAAACGGAACGGCACUGAACCAUAUUUUAAACUGAACCAUUUAAUUCAAUUUUAAGCUGAACCGCUUUCAAAAAACAAUUACAAUUCACUGUAUAACUGGUUCAGAACCGGUUUGAAUUUUGAACUGAUUAUUGUGGGUAUCAUGCUGUUAAAAUAUUAUAAGUCACCAUAGAGAAUCAAAGGAUUACGUGUUUAAGUUUCUAUAGUAGUUCAAUCCACCAGUGAAGCCAGUUUUCUCAAAUUUGGAGACAAAAUAAGCAAGGUCAUCUUCUGUGAGCCAAGAAGGCAAAGUGUCUGGCAUAUUCGGGUUGAGUCCAGUUCCAUACUCUCCCUUGGGAAGUAUUGGUGCACCAGUUGUGCGAUUUGUGAGCAUAUUUUUAAUUGCAUAUUCAGUGCCAACUUCAGCCAUCUCAGCCUCCAUUUUGUCUUCCUGUGAUAAAAAACAAAUAUGACAUGCAUUCAGAUCAAUUUCUCAAUUCAUUUUACAUAAACAAAGAAUUCUGAAAUCAAAAGAUUGUAUUCUGGAAAAGUACUUAGUAGCAAAGAAAUGGAAAGAAGACCUGAAAUCUGCAGAUAUAAUAAUCAUUUCCAUGAGCAGCACGCAUGGCAUCAAGAGUUUUGAUUUUAGGGUCUCUAUGGAGCAAAGGAACACUGAGACAAACAUAGGCUUUGAUUCUUUCAGGACGAAGCAAACAUAGAUACCAACCAAUGAUAGCACCCCAAUCAUGAGCAACAAGUAAAACUUGAUCAACACCAAGCAAGUCUAUAAGAGCAACCAGGUCACCAACAAUAUGAAAACCUG
This 3058-nucleotide long non-coding RNA is filed under the name Trifolium pratense (red clover). Its description in RNAcentral is "long non-coding RNA (TPRA_LNC002808)". Lineage: Eukaryota; Viridiplantae; Streptophyta; Magnoliopsida; Fabales; Fabaceae. The record is from RNAcentral.